RNAcentral lists this ribosomal RNA (390 nucleotides) under uncultured bacterium. RNAcentral describes it as "bacterial SSU rRNA". It matches the Rfam family "Bacterial small subunit ribosomal RNA", at positions 29 to 410 of the family's 1533-position model. The record is from RNAcentral.
AUUGAACGCUGGCGGAAUGCUUUACACAUGCAAGUCGAACGGCAGCACGGGUGCUUGCACCUGGUGGCGAGUGGCGAACGGGUGAGUAAUGCACCGGAACGUAUCCAAUAAUGGGGGAGUAACGCACCGAAAGGUAGUGCUAAUACCGCAUAACGCCCUCGAGGGGGAAAGGACGGGGGAGUCGUAAGACCUCGCGUUAAUGGAGCGGCCGAUGCCGGAUUAGCUAGUUGGUGAGGUAAAGGCUCACCAAGGCGACGAUCCGUAGCUGGUCUGAGAGGACGACCAGCCACACUGGAACUGAGACACGGUCCAGACUCCUACGGGAGGCAGCAGUGGGGAAUUUUGGACAAAUGGGCGCAAGCCUGAUCCAGCCAUUCCGCGUGAGUGAAG